Molecule: ribosomal RNA, 431 nt
Filed under: uncultured bacterium
Lineage: Bacteria
Description: partial 16S ribosomal RNA
Rfam family: Bacterial small subunit ribosomal RNA
Source: RNAcentral
AACGAACGCUGGCGGCAGGCUUAACACAUGCGAGUCGAGCGCCCCGCAAGGGGAGCGGCAGACGGGUGAGUAACGCGUGGGAACUUACCUUUUGGUUCGGAACAACUCCGGGAAACUGGAGCUAAUACCGGAUAAGCCCUAACGGGGAAAGAUUUAUCGCCGAAAGAUCGGCCCGCGUCUGAUUAGCUAGUUGGUGAGGUAACGGCUCACCAAGGCGACGAUCAGUAGCUGGUCUGAGAGGAUGAUCAGCCACACUGGGACUGAGACACGGCCCAGACUCCUACGGGAGGCAGCAGUGGGGAAUAGUGGACAAUGGGCGCAAGCCUGAGCCAGCCAUGCCGCGUGAGUGAUGAAGGCCUUAGGGUUGUAAAGCUCUUUUGUCCGGGAAGAUAAUGACUGUACCGGAAGAAGAAGCCCCGGCUAACUUCGUG